ACUUGGGUGCUGCAUUUGAAACUGGAUAUCUAGAGUGCAGGAGAGGUAAGUGGAAUUCCUAGUGUAGCGGUGAAAUGCGUAGAGAUUAGGAAGAACACCAGUGGCGAAGGCGACUUACUGGACUGUAACUGACACUGAGGCAUGAAAGCGUGGGUAGCAAACAGGAUUAGAUACCCUGGUAGUCCACGCCGUAAACGAUGAGUACUAGGUGUAGGAGGUAUCGACUCCUUCUGUGCCGCAGUUAACACAAUAAGUACUCCGCCUGGGAAGUACGAUCGCAAGAUUAAAACUCAAAGGAAUUGACGGGGGCCCGCACAAGCAGCGGAGCAUGUGGUUUAAUUCGAUGCAACGCGAAGAACCUUACCUACCCUUGACAUCUAAGGAAUCCAGAUGAGAGUUUGGAGUGCCGAAAGG
This 414-nucleotide ribosomal RNA is filed under the name uncultured bacterium. RNAcentral's name for it is "bacterial SSU rRNA". It matches the Rfam family "Bacterial small subunit ribosomal RNA", at positions 612 to 1024 of the family's 1533-position model. The record is from RNAcentral.